RNAcentral lists this ribosomal RNA (700 nucleotides) under uncultured Acidobacteriota bacterium. RNAcentral's name for it is "bacterial SSU rRNA". It matches the Rfam family "Bacterial small subunit ribosomal RNA", at positions 9 to 721 of the family's 1533-position model. Lineage: Bacteria; Pseudomonadati; Acidobacteriota. The record is from RNAcentral.
GAGUUUGAUCCUGGCUCAGAAUCAACGCUGGCGGCGUGCCUCAGACAUGCAAGUCGAACGAUUAAGACUCUCUUCGGAGAGUGUAUAAAGUGGCGCACGGGUGAGUAACACGUAAGUAAUCUACCCUCGAGUGGGGAAUAACAUCGGGAAACCGAUGCUAAUACCGCAUAACGCAGCGGCACCGCAAGGUGACAGUUGUUAAAGGAGCAAUCCGCUUGAGGAGGAGCUUGCGGCAGAUUAGCUAGUUGGUGAGGUAAUGGCUCACCAAGGCUACGAUCUGUAUCCGGCCUGAGAGGGCGGUCGGACACACUGACACUGAAUAACGGGUCAGACUCCUACGGGAGGCAGCAGUCGGGAAUUUUGGGCAAUGGGCGAAAGCCUGACCCAGCAACGCCGCGUGAGGGAUGAAGUAUUUCGGUAUGUAAACCUCGAAAGAAUGGGAAGAAUAAAUGACGGUACCAUUUAUAAGCUCCGGCUAACUACGUGCCAGCAGCCGCGGUAAUACGUAGGGAGCAAGCGUUGUUCGGAUUUACUGGGCGUAAAGGGCGCGUAGGCGGCGCGGUAAGUCACUUGUGAAAUCUCUGAGCUUAACUCAGAACGGCCAAGUGAUACUGCUGUGCUAGAGUGCGGAAGAGGCAACCGGAAUUCUUGGUGUAGCGGUGAAAUGCGUAGAUAUCAAGAGGAACACCUGAGGCGAAGG